Molecule: ribosomal RNA, 301 nt
Filed under: uncultured bacterium
Lineage: Bacteria
Description: partial 16S ribosomal RNA
Rfam family: Bacterial small subunit ribosomal RNA
Source: RNAcentral
CAGUAGCCGCGGGAAUACGUAGGGUGCAAGCGUUAAUCGGAAUUACUGGGCGUAAAGCGUGCGCAGGCGGUUUGUUAAGACAGAUGUGAAAUCCCCGGGCUCAACCUGGGAACUGCAUUUGUGACUGGCGAGCUAGAGUAUGGCAGAGGGGGGUAGAAUUCCACGUGUAGCAGUGAAAUGCGUAGAGAUGUGGAGGAAUACCGAUGGCGAAGGCGGCAACCUGGUCCUUGACUGACGCUGAGGCGCGAAAGCGUGGGGAGCAAACAGGAUUAGAUACCCCAGUAGUCCCUGUCUCUUAUAC